AUGCUUAACACAUGCAAGUCGCACGAAGGCUUCGGCCUUAGUGGCGGACGGGUGAGUAACGCGUAGGAAUCUAUCCAUGGGUGGGGGAUAACUCCGGGAAACUGGAGCUAAUACCGCAUGAUACCUGAGGGUCAAAGGCGCAAGUCGCCUGUGGAGGAGCCUGCGUUUGAUUAGCUUGUUGGUGGGGUAAUGGCCUACCAAGGCGAUGAUCAAUAGCUGGUCUGAGAGGAUGAUCAGCCACACUGGGACUGAGACACGGCCCAGACUCCUACGGGAGGCAGCAGUGGGGAAUAUUGGACAAUGGGGGCAACCCUGAUCCAGCAAUGCCGCGUGUGUGAAGAAGGUUUUCGGAUUGUAAAGCACUUUCGGCGGGGACGAUGAUGACGGUACCCGCAGAAGAAGCCCCGGCUAACUUCGUGCCAGCAGCCGCGGUAAUACGAAGGGGGCUAGCGUUGCUCGGAAUGACUGGGCGUAAAGGGCGUGUAGGCGGUUUGUACGAGUAGAUGUGAAAUCCCCGGGCUUAACCUGGGAGC
RNAcentral lists this ribosomal RNA (533 nucleotides) under Acetobacter sp. AaM46a. RNAcentral's name for it is "bacterial SSU rRNA". It matches the Rfam family "Bacterial small subunit ribosomal RNA", at positions 44 to 621 of the family's 1533-position model. Lineage: Bacteria; Pseudomonadati; Pseudomonadota; Alphaproteobacteria; Acetobacterales; Acetobacteraceae. The record is from RNAcentral.